This 121-nucleotide small RNA is filed under the name Klebsiella ornithinolytica. Its description in RNAcentral is "Raoultella ornithinolytica partial RtT sRNA". It matches the Rfam family "RtT RNA". From Rfam's summary of the family: This family represents a bacterial cis-regulatory element known as RtT RNA. The exact function of RtT is unknown although it is thought that it may be involved in changing the cellular response in relation to amino acid starvation. The record is from RNAcentral. Lineage: Bacteria; Pseudomonadati; Pseudomonadota; Gammaproteobacteria; Enterobacterales; Enterobacteriaceae.
UGCAGGGAAGGAUGAGAAGCUUCGACCAGGGUUCGAUUCGAGCGCAGCGAGAAAGCGUUGCCGCAGGCAACGACCCGAAGGGUGAGGCGCGAAGCGACGAAUAAUCCUUCCCCCGCCACCA